Molecule: long non-coding RNA, 2569 nt
Organism: Cuculus canorus (common cuckoo)
Lineage: Eukaryota; Metazoa; Chordata; Aves; Cuculiformes; Cuculidae
Exons: 7
Source: RefSeq, a predicted model, not a curated record
UCCCCGCCCCAGGCCCCGCCCCUGGCUCGCGCCCGCCCAGGCUCGCCCGUGGCCCGCACCCUCUUUAUCACAGCCCCGGGGCGCGCCCUUCCCUUCCCGCCCCUAUUUCCGCGCGCCCCGGGGCCACGUGGCGUCCGGCGGGGUCCUCGGUGUGGGAUCCCGUCCCUGGGGAGGGUCUCGGUGAGUCGGGAGCCUUCCCGUUCCUGCGGCGCCGCCGGCUGCGAUCCCUGCCGGACUUGGAGCGGCUUCGCGGCGCAGGCAGCCUCUGAACGGCCCCGGUGCUCCGCAGCAGGUGGAGUUAAGAGAUGAGUUUGUUACUGGCUUUGAAAAUCUUCAGUCUGGACUCUGCCACGCUGCUUCCUUGCAAGCAGAAAGAUAUCACGUGACUUCUGGAGCUACAGAAGUGCUAUGACAUCCGCUUAACUUCUCCACUGUCUCUGAGCCUCCUGUAUGCACAUGCAGUCAACAGUGGAGUACAUCUGCUUCUGGAAGUACGGAUGUUUGAGACGCUUGAAAACAGCAGCCUGAAGUGUGGAGUUCUGAUACCCUUGGAUAUGCUGUCAUGGCCCUUCCUGCUUCUUGGAAAUACUGCCUGAUUCAACAGUAAAGCAGAGUAGCAGCUGAAAAUGUGAAUAAUCUCUGAAUGAAGUGCAGGGAGUUAUCAUCGACGAGGUCAAAUGGAAAUACAGGAUUUGGUGCUACACAUAGUGCAGACUUGCCUAAGCAAAGAAGAAAUUAAGCUGAAAGAAUUGAUAAACUUGCCAGAACUGAAAGGGGGGGGGGUAAAGCUGUGACACAGAUUACUUAGUAAUAUGGUUUGUAUGUCAUAAUAUUCAAGUGUUACAUCUUAAUUCUUGUCUUGCUGCCAACUUUUGUGCGUGAACAAACGUGACUGUGAUGCUAAAUAAACAAACUCUCCCCCUCAACUUUUGCCUUCUCUUUCCCAAGGGAGUGAAAUCUGUCUUUAGUUUAACCUGGACCAAUGUCAGAGGAGCAAUGCCCGAAGUAAGCCGGCAUAAAGGCUGGAGGAUUGGUGCUGGCCUGUGGCCUGGCUGUGUACAGCACUGAGAUUUUCCAACUGAAAGACUUCUCUGAUACCAAUCUUAACAGCUGAAAUUCUGGACUUUGAUUUGAAACUAUUGCAAUCGAUUAAUAUCAGCUUUUUUUUUCAAACUGACAAAACGAAAAUGGGCCCAAAACUAAAGACUGAGUUACAUUAUUUACCGUGUUUUAAGUCAUUUGGUAGUAGAUAUGAGAUUACCAGACUGCAGAAGUUCGAGUUUAUCCUUUUUAUAUGAAGAUAAGUCUCCUAUGUAACAGACACCACCCUUCGCCAGCACAGCACUGCAAGCCUGGAUACUAGCACUUCCAGUUCUGUGUUUAUCUUUGGACACAGAAGGAAAAAUUUCACUAGAAGAUAACAGCAACUGGACGCCAGGUUCAGUGUAACAGACUGGAGUAAAAUGAAGUAUAUGUUUCUAAUUAAUUUAGUGCAAAAGGUAAGGAAUGCACGGUGGGUGAGAAAAGGCAGAUUCCUGAUAAAUACAAAGGAUGAUGCAUUUAGGUCUGCAUUGAAAAGAAAAUGGACAGUUGUUGGCAAAUAUGUGUUCCAACUCUGAAACUUGUGGUAACACCAUUAUCUGUUACUGUCCUGUAAAAUGUCAGAGGGAAAAAAACAAAAAAACCUAAACUAAACAGAUUUCAGAAAGACACAGAAAUAGCUUUGGGAACCUUUCUAUUUCUGUGUAUCUUUUAGAAAGAAUUACCACGUUUUUGGAAACAAGAGUUAGGUCCAAACAACUACGAGACUCAGCUGUGAGACUGUCUACCUUUAUUGGUCACUGAAGCCAAUGGAAAUUUAAUGCAUGCAUAAUUCUCGGAUUCUGUUUUAUUAUCUUAGUUUUAUAAUUUUUUAACUAUUAUUAGUUUUUUCUAUUUACAUUUCAAGAAAUGAACCAUAUAAUUCCAUAGACCUUUGGAAUGGUGUGGGGGUUUUCUAACGGAAGUAGGUUGGCAAGUUGUGAUUUUAGUUGGAUAUUUACAUUAGUAAUCAUAUAAUGAUUGCAGUGAAAGGCAGUGGUAGUAAAAGCCAAAAAUUCUGAUGGAAUGCGGGAAACAGCUUGAUUGAGGAAGGAUGUUAAAAAUGCAUGAAGUGAGUACAAAACUGUGUGACCAAAGGAAGUAGAACAGAGGAAAAAAACAAGGUACAGUUAGAACAUGAUACUGCAGACAACACGACAGUUCUGCUACACGCAUGUUUCCAUCACCUGUGUGUGCUCCUCAGUCACCUAACUGAUUUUACGUCUUCCCCCCCCCCAUUUUAUUACAGAACUCCAAUAUAAAUUAUUACUUUCACCAUUUUAUCCAGAGAAACAGACCUGUAGGAAAAAUGCAAGGGAUUAUUACAGUUCAAUUCUAAAACACUUUUGACAAAAGUCCAGAAUUCAGCUUACCUCUCAGGAAAACUGUAAACGUCUGAAUCCUAAAAUGGGAUUUAUCAUUGGAAUAUCCUUUCAAAGCAUGAAGAACUUUUGCAUCAAUCAUUUCAACUAUUUGUUUAUCUUUGAAA